This is a long non-coding RNA of Silurus meridionalis, 3830 nucleotides long. RefSeq lists it as uncharacterized. The record is from RefSeq and is a predicted model, not a curated record. NCBI's taxonomy places the organism in Eukaryota, Metazoa, Chordata, Actinopteri, Siluriformes, Siluridae. The transcript has 5 exons.
GACGCACUGUAAAUUGCGUUAUCAAGCAAUAUCUCUUUACAUGAGGCAAAUAUCUCAAGUGGAAAUAUUUAAGUGCAUUUUCGACUUGAUUUUAUUUAAAUCAAUUUUUAAGGACUGUUUGUUCAGAACAAUGAAUAAUGCUAGUGUUUAUUAGGUCUAGGUUGUAAUUACAUUGUAAAAAAAAAAAAGGGAGGCUAUGUUAUGGAAUAUACUUCUCAUUACUUUAACAGAGGUUCAUUGUUGCCUUUAAAGGUGAAAGGAAAUGUAAUGAUGAAGCAAAGAUAAAAAAGUGCAGACGAGCAAGAGGCAGUAGGAUUCGUAGUUUACAAAAAAAACCUGAUAGAAAUACUGACUGAUGUAAUAGAACCUCAGGUACACUAUAUAGAUAAAAGUAUUGGGACACCAGUGUUUUCAAGCCAUAUCAAGUUCACAGUUGUUCCAGCAUCACAAUGUCACUGUGCACAAAACCAGCUCUAUGAAGAUAUGCUUUACAUAGGCUGGAGCACAAGAUAAUGAUUGUCCUUCUAUAAACCUUGUCCUUCUAUUUACCUUUGAGAUGAACUGAAACACAUGGAUGGACUGCACCCCAGGCCUCCUCAGUUCACCUUUACCUGACUUCCUGACUUUCAUAACGCUAUUGUAACCGCAAAUAAAGUCAGAAAGUAAAUUUCAUGCUCUAGUGUCCACAAACAUUUGCAAAGUAUAUAAAUAAAAGUGUAGAAUACUCGUUAUUCAUCACAUAUACAUUACAGCACAGUGUAAUUUUUACUCCACAUAUCCCAGCUUCUUUGGAAGCUGAGGUCAGAGCACGGGGUCUGCCAUGAUACGGCGCCCCUGGACCACAGAUGGUUAAGGACCUUGCUCAAGGGCCCAAGAAUGACAGCUUGGUGAUACGUGGGCUUGAACCCCUGACCAUCUGAACAGCAACCCAACACCUUUACCACUGACCUUUUUUUCCCAUGCAUGCAUUAAUUAAGCAUGCAUGACUAAUAUUUGAACCAUAUUAAAGCUGAAAUUAAACUUCUGGCACUUCUGCUGUCAUUAAAUGUACAAAAUUCUGCAAGCACAAAGGUCAAUGAGUCAAACAAUAUCUGGAACUCAACUUUUCAACUGACAGUCAUCAACUGACAGAUCUAAACAUGAGUAACAAGUAAUAAUAAUCCCAGAUUUUGGAUUUGGGUGAACAUAAUUGCCAAAAAUUUGCAUAUCCAGAAUCUAUGAUUUAGCUGAGGGGGCAAAAAGUUUUGCAUAAAACUGUACCUUAUGCUCAUGUUUUUGUUGCUUUUUUUUCCUGCAAUUAACUUUACACUUAUAGUCACAAGUUUUGACCUGAUACUAAGACCUAAAUAUAGGAUUUUGUGGAACUUCCGUUGUAUCAGCAUCAAUAUUGCUGCUAAUCCAGGGACUUCUUGAAAAUAUUCUAAUAAGAGGAGCAGAGUCGAGUGGCAUAUGAAAAGAAAAAUGAAGUUUAUCAAGUCCAUAAUCAGACCCAUUACCAUCUCAAGAGAUGUUCAGACACAAAAGUUACUACUAAUUCAACCAAGUACAGAUUCUCCACUGCCUAUGCAACAGCGACUCAGAAGUGACACUGCUCUCUCUCAUCCUACUCUCUUCAGUGGAUCCCAGUACUCUCCACUAAGAUUUGAGGAAUUGAUCCCAGCACCUCCACUGGCCAUGCAUCUGAAAUUCAAAAGCCAUUUGCCCUCUACUUUGUCAGGCGGAGUCGGACCUUGGAGGACACGGCAAGUUAUUUCCCUUCAGAGUGUUAUUAAUGACUAGUGAAGCUAAACAUUAUGGGCAUAUGUGAGACUUUUGGUAAGGAAGCUUGAGCAAUUUGUGCAAGGAUUUUAAUGUUGAAGAGAGCCUGUAAAGCUAUCACAGGGGGAGGCUACGUAUAUGCUGCCAAGGUUUAAUGAGAGUGCGCAUCCUGGCAGAGUUUAAAUUUAUUACCUAGUUGGAGAUUAGUCAGUGAUAGAGGGAUGAGGAUGUGAUAUGUAUGGAAAGAAAAUAGCAGACGUGAUAACAAAUUUAAUGUGUAGUUGUACAGAGUUGACUCCAAUAUGACAUUCAACUUUCUAACUUCUGAGGCCAGCCAUCAAUGAAGAGUACAGUUCAAUCCAGUUUUAUUCCUAUAGUGCUUCUAGCAAUGGACAUUGUCCCAAAGAAGCUUUGCUAAUUUAAAUGCAUUGUGAAUGUACGUUAGCAUUGUAAAUGAGUCUCUAUAUAGUUUAUACCAAAGAGUGAGCCAAUGGACUGUUAUUAAUAUCAACAGUUAAAAUUGAUUAGGACCACAAUUUGCCUGAACAGUUUAACCACCCAUCACUUAACAGUAUAAUGGAACUUUAAAGAAUUGAUAUUCGGUGACACCCAGAUGAUGACGGGUUCCCUUUUUGACUCUGGUUCCUUUCAGGGUUUCUUCCUUAUGAUGUCUCAGGGAGUUUUCUUUUUGCCACUGGCUCGCCACUUUAGUGCUUAUACAAUACGCACUAAACUUAUACAUUCCCACUUUAUAACCUCUUUAUCCCUGUAAAGCUGAUUUGGGAAAAUUUCCAUUGUUAAAAGUGCUCUACAAAUAAAAUUUAUAUGAAUGUAUCUGAAUUGAACUUGGAUGCAAAACUGUUCAUUGUAAUUGCAGCUUUAAGGCAUUGUAACAAACUGCUUAUAUUGAUUACACCAUCCGAAAAUCCCAAUUCACACAACUCUCUAACCCCGAUUACUCCUGACCCGUUCCUUUCCCUCUGAAAAACCUAUUUACAAAAGGCUUAACCAAACAAAUAAGUUUUCACCUCAUCAACUAUCGAAUUGUGUAGUGAGCUUUAUAGAUACAGCCUUUCUUGUGAUGGAGAUAAGAAGUGGGGUUGAAAAAUGGAAAGAAAGCCAAUGAUGAGAAAGUAUGAGAGUGAAACCGAGUGUCAUCAACAUACAAGUGAAAAUGAAGGAGAAGAAAAUUGUCUGUUGAGGAAGUGGCACUAGCAUUACAGUAGAAAUAGGCUACACCAAGAACUAGCCUUAUAGCCAAACAUAAUAAUCCCGAAAGUAGCAUUAAAUUAGACUCCAUAUAAGUACUUUUUAAGAGAGCUUCAUGGAUAGUAUAUAUUCUCUGAGGCUAAAAUAAUGUUGUAAUACAUGUAGAACUUGGGCUCACAUAUAAAACAGUUUAUUCAAGCAGACAAGUGUAAGGAAAUGCAAAUCAGACUUCUAUAAUAGAUAUCCAUCUGUUCAUGUGUAUAUGAUGCUUGUAGAUCACCUAGCAUGAGGUCUAUCCCCUCAGAAUCCUGGUAUUUGAAGCAUCCUCAUGUACAUGAUUUCAGAAAUUGUGACAGUUGAAGCGGAGCAAUUUUUCCCCAAAAUCCAUCACCCUAAACUGCACAUCACACUGUAAAAAGCUUCAUGCUGAUCUGACGUUUCAGCGAGAAAACAGUAACUUCAUAAGAAAGAAUUUUAUUCCUUUUUCUCUUUUUUUUCCCCCUCCUUCAGCAACAGCUAAGAUCAGCUUUCAUAUUAAUGGGUUGGGAAUCAAUUUAGAACCCAAACAACCUCCAGAACUCGUUUCUCUGUAGCUCUGUAACUCCUAUUUCUCAAAACAAGUAUGCAGUAUAUAUUGCACUUUUUACAUAGAUCCAUAAUCUAUCAUUUUUAAUAUAUAUUACAUAGAAAACGUGCACUAUUGUUUUGGAUGCCUUUUUACUGUAUAUAAUUAAACACAUUAUUGUAUAAAUAUAUCAUUUUUAAUGCUGUUUUUCUUUUCACCAAACUUGUUAACUUUGUGCUAUUGUUAUGAUCUUGAACAGGUACGAAAGAACAGCUCUAUAAUAAAAAAGCAAACUGUU